RNAcentral lists this long non-coding RNA (231 nucleotides) under Fukomys damarensis (Damara mole-rat). Its description in RNAcentral is "lncRNA (ENSFDAG00000030383.1)". Lineage: Eukaryota; Metazoa; Chordata; Mammalia; Rodentia; Bathyergidae. The record is from RNAcentral.
AUAAACUAAUUCUGAUGAUACAGGCCUGCUGGCGAACAAGAAAGGGAGACGGGCAACGGACGGUGCAUGGUGGUCUCCAGAUGUAGCCGGAACUCUUAACUGCCGAAAAAGAAGUCCGAAGCCACUGUUGCAACACACUGAAGCUCCAUUAAAGCAGAACCACGGAGAGCUGAAAGUUCAGUUGGUGAAUGAAAGUGCACACGUCAGAGCUAAACAACAACAAAAAGGCAC